AUUUUUUAAUAGUUUUAAUAAGUUCAGUAGUGCGUUUGACUAUAGUCAUAAUGACGUAUAUGCAUGCCGCGACAUUAUAUAUGAGCUUAAACUCAUCAAACGACUUUAUUCGGACGUGACAUUGACAGAAGCGUUCGUCAUAUUAUAUGGAUAUCAUAUCGAUGCCUAGCACUCUCUAUAGCUGCUGUGGAACAAAAAUAUGCGCGCGUUGGCCGGCUUUAAUUUUAAUUGGGUUUCAGACACGCCAGAAAAAUAAGAUGAGUUGGCAAAAAUAUCAUUAUUAUAUUAUUAUUACUAUCGGGUCCGCAGGCGACCACCAAUGGACGCGCGUUGGAGGCCCAAGUCCAUACCGGUAAACGCAUUGAGAAGAGCUAUAUUAGUACAAUGAGGGGCGAUCUCAAUGACCACAGAGACAAUGGGCGAGACUGGAGAGAUCAGAGUGUAAAAAUAUAAUGUAAAUGUAUAUAUAUACACGAGAUGAUAAUAUAUACGCUCGAGAAAGAAAAAGAAAAAAAACAAAAACAAUAGCCCACCAAAGCGUCAUAAAAACUAAUCUCUUGGUCAGGGUCGUUAAUCAUCAUUGUCCAAGUGCGUUUUGACACCAUAAUUUUAUCGAAAUAAUCACAAUAAUAAUAUUGGCCUAUAAUUGUAUUAUUAAUAUAUUAUUAUAGGUUUAUUUUUUUAUUAUUCUA
Long non-coding RNA from Aphis gossypii (cotton aphid), 692 nucleotides. RefSeq lists it as uncharacterized. The transcript has 3 exons. The record is from RefSeq and is a predicted model, not a curated record. NCBI's taxonomy places the organism in Eukaryota, Metazoa, Arthropoda, Insecta, Hemiptera, Aphididae.